RNAcentral lists this ribosomal RNA (207 nucleotides) under uncultured bacterium. RNAcentral's name for it is "partial 16S ribosomal RNA". It matches the Rfam family "Bacterial small subunit ribosomal RNA", at positions 568 to 774 of the family's 1533-position model. The record is from RNAcentral.
AGCGUAGGCGGAUAGUUUAGUCAGAGGUGAAAGCCCAGGGCUCAACCUUGGAAUUGCCUUUGAUACUGGCUAUCUUGAGUAUGGAAGAGGUAUGUGGAACUCCGAGUGUAGAGGUGAAAUUCGUAGAUAUUCGGAAGAACACCAGUGGCGAAGGCGACAUACUGGUCCAUUACUGACGCUGAGGCUCGAAAGCGUGGGAGGCAAACA